AAAGGAUUAUUUUUGUUCGGUGUAAAAGAAGUUUAAGAAUUCGAUUUUUCAUCUUGAUGAUCACUUUGGGCAAGGAUAGUAACAUUUUGUGUGUUUAACGCACUAGGAGGAAAUAAUUAUGGAACAAGGUACAGUUAAAUGGUUUAAUGCAGAAAAAGGUUUCGGAUUUAUCGAACGCGAAGGUGGAGAGGACGUAUUUGUUCAUUUCUCUGCUAUCCAAUCAGAAGGUUUCAAAUCAUUAGACGAAGGUCAAAAAGUUACUUUUGACGUUGAGCAAGGUGCUCGUGGACCUCAAGCAGCAAACGUUCAAAAAGCAUAAUAAUUAUUUAUAAUAAAACAGGUCCUUUUUAAAAGGGCCUGUUUUU
Molecule: small RNA, 365 nt
Filed under: Fictibacillus enclensis
Lineage: Bacteria; Bacillati; Bacillota; Bacilli; Caryophanales; Fictibacillaceae
Description: Bacillus sp. NIOC03 cspA thermoregulator
Rfam family: cspA thermoregulator
Source: Rfam by way of RNAcentral